RNAcentral lists this ribosomal RNA (896 nucleotides) under uncultured bacterium. RNAcentral's name for it is "bacterial SSU rRNA". It matches the Rfam family "Bacterial small subunit ribosomal RNA", at positions 30 to 916 of the family's 1533-position model. The record is from RNAcentral.
UGAACGCUAGCUACAGGCUUAACACAUGCAAGUCGAGGGGAAACGAUAGAGAAAGCUUGCUUUUUCUAGGCGUCGACCGGCGCACGGGUGAGUAACGCGUAUCCAACCUGCCCACCACUUGGGGAUAACCUUGCGAAAGUAAGACUAAUACCCAAUGAUAUCUCUAGAAGACAUCUGAAGGAGAUUAAAGAUUUAUCGGUGAUGGAUGGGGAUGCGUCUGAUUAGCUUGUUGGCGGGGUAACGGCCCACCAAGGCGACGAUCAGUAGGGGUUCUGAGAGGAAGGUCCCCCACAUUGGAACUGAGACACGGUCCAAACUCCUACGGGAGGCAGCAGUGAGGAAUAUUGGUCAAUGGGCGAGAGCCUGAACCAGCCAAGUAGCGUGCAGGAUGACGGCCCUAUGGGUUGUAAACUGCUUUUAUAAGGGAAUAAAGUGAGCCUCGUGAGGCUUUUUGCAUGUACCUUAUGAAUAAGGACCGGCUAAUUCCGUGCCAGCAGCCGCGGUAAUACGGAAGGUCCGGGCGUUAUCCGGAUUUAUUGGGUUUAAAGGGAGCGUAGGCCGGAGAUUAAGCGUGUUGUGAAAUGUAGAUGCUCAACGUCUGCACUGCAGCGCGAACUGGUUUCCUUGAGUACGCACAAAGUGGGCGGAAUUCGUGGUGUAGCGGUGAAAUGCUUAGAUAUCACGAAGAACUCCGAUUGCGAAGGCAGCUCACUGGAGCGCAACUGACGCUGAAGCUCGAAAGUGCGGGUAUCGAACAGGAUUAGAUACCCUGGUAGUCCGCACGGUAAACGAUGGAUGCCCGCUGUUGGUCUGAAUAGGUCAGCGGCCAAGCGAAAGCAUUAAGCAUCCCACCUGGGGAGUACGCCGGCAACGGUGAAACUCAAAGGAAUUGACGG